Molecule: unclassified non-coding RNA, 116 nt
Organism: Macaca fascicularis (crab-eating macaque)
Lineage: Eukaryota; Metazoa; Chordata; Mammalia; Primates; Cercopithecidae
Rfam family: Metazoan signal recognition particle RNA
About the family: The signal recognition particle (SRP) is a universally conserved ribonucleoprotein.
Source: Ensembl
GCUGGGCAUGGUGGCUCAUGCCUGUAAUCCAGCACUUUGGGAGGCUGAGGUGGGCAGAUCACUUGAGGCCAGGAGUUCAAGGUCAGCCUGGCCAACAUGGUGAAAGCCCAUCUCUA